AUUGAAAUGGAAGAUUGUGAGCGUCAGCUGUAAGACUGAGAAUAAUCACUUGGGAAGGUUCGAAGUAUAAUGAAGUCAGAUAAGAUGAGGAAUGAAGCGAUGUAUUAAGAUGAUUGAAUUGGAUGCUAUUCUAGAGAUGAAGUUCUGAGCUUUUAUAGAAGAGAUUUAACCGAAACCACGCUAAUGGUGAUUUGAGCUCAGAUAAUUACACUAAACUCAAAUAGAUUAGUCGUUACUUAUCGGGGAUCUACACUCUUAGUAUCAGAAUAAGGAUUAGGCUAAGCACUAAUUCCAACACUCCUUCUCACUUUGUACCGAAGAUACAGGUGCAUAAGUGGUUCAAUCUUGGUUUUGGAAGAAUCUUGGUACAGAUAUCAGCCAGAUUUUUAUCAGAUGGACAUGACUUAGG
This 409-nucleotide long non-coding RNA is filed under the name Malus domestica (apple). RNAcentral's name for it is "long non-coding RNA (MDOM_LNC021157)". The record is from RNAcentral. Lineage: Eukaryota; Viridiplantae; Streptophyta; Magnoliopsida; Rosales; Rosaceae.